CGGACUGUAGGCUGCAACUCGCCUACACGAAGUUGGAAUUGCUAGUAAUCGUGGAUCAGCAUGCCACGGUGAAUACGUUCCCGGGUCUUGUACACACCGCCCGUCACACCAUGGGAGCUGGUAACACCCGAAGUCAGUAGUCUAACCGCAAGGAGGACGCUGCCGAAGGUGGGAUUAGCGACUGGGGUGAAGUCGUAACAAGGUAGC
RNAcentral lists this ribosomal RNA (207 nucleotides) under uncultured bacterium. RNAcentral describes it as "partial 16S ribosomal RNA". It matches the Rfam family "Bacterial small subunit ribosomal RNA", at positions 1294 to 1500 of the family's 1533-position model. The record is from RNAcentral.